AAAAGGGGAAGGAAGGGAUUAGAGGAGAUCUGCUCAGCUGUGGAUCCACAGAAGGCAGGGUCGGUGAUGACCUCCACCAUGGCCUGGUUCCCUCUUCUCCUCACCCUUCUCAUCCACUGCACAGGUUCCUGGGCCCAGUCUGUGCUGACUCAGCCUCCCUUAGUAUCUGGGGCCCUGGGCCAGACGGUCACCAUCUCUUGCACUGGAAGCAGCAGUAACAUCGGUAUUGUUGGUGUGAACUGGUACCAACAGCUUCCAGGAAAGGCCCCUAAAGUCCUCAUCUAUGCUAAUAACAGACGACCCUCAAGUGUUCCUGACAGAUUUUCUGGCUCCAAGUCUGGCAACACCGGCUCCUUGACCAUCACUGGGCUCCAGGCUGAGGAUGAGGCUGAUUAUUACUGCCUGUCUGCUGGCAUUACUCAAGGUGCUGACACAGUGCUCCAGGCCUGUGGGGAAUUGGAUCCAUUGUGGAUCGAUCCUGAUUCCCUCUUUGGCUCCAUGUCUAGCAACUCUGGCUCCCAGGUCUUCACUGGGCUGAGGGCUGAGGGCUGA
Non-coding RNA from Neofelis nebulosa (Clouded leopard), 552 nucleotides. The record is from the annotation of a RefSeq genome assembly. Lineage: Eukaryota; Metazoa; Chordata; Mammalia; Carnivora; Felidae.